AAUCUCUCGUUAGGACUAAAUAACCGCGGUCUCAAAACGGAAGCCUCGUUGCAAUCCGUGCCAGGGGCUUACUUGGGAGUAAGUGCGCUUUAGGGAAUGCCGUUUGGAACAGAAACGUUAGCAAAGUUUUCAGUGGGUGCGGUGCAGCUCUCGUUCCCUCCCUCAUUCACGCUCUGGAGAGUUAAGACUGUUCGGCAAAGCAGGUUUCCCAGAAACUUUCUAGAUGAAAGGGAAGAGGUUCGUGCAGUGCUGCCAAGUCCCUUUCUACUUCUAUCUCUCCCCAUGAUGCGAGCCCAGUCCACCUCUCCGCGCCACAGCUUUUGUAUCCUGAAGCCGGAGCGCAGUCCCAGACACACACACACACACACACACACACACGGCAGUUGCAACCCUGGCCAGAGACUGCAUCUCAGCAGAAAGUUUGCCACGUGCGGCAGAAUUGAGGCAAAGAGACUCAGAAUUGAGUCGCUUCUCCUUCAUCACCUUCUUGACCCAUUUCUCAAGGACCGCCAUCAAUACCAAACAGACCCCCAUUGUAGAGAAGAAUCACAACCUUCAUCUGAUGAAGUGCUCUCUAAUCCAGUUUUGUUGAAUCUGAUGCAGUUGACUCUAACACAACAAAGUUUAUGCUGCAAUAACUGUGUUAAUUUGUAAGGUGAUGCAAGCCUCCUUGUUUUGUUUUUGUCACUAUCUUGCCUUAUCUAUAUUUAGGUGAAGUGAAAGGAGACGAAUCAGAUAUAAACAACAACAACAACAACAAACAAGAACAACAACACACCCAUAUGAAUAAGAAACUGUGAAUCGUGGCUUUUGCCAUAUACAAACUAGUGUCAACCCAUUACUGUAAAAUCUAAAGUUUAGGGCUUUGUAGGUUUGUUGUUUCAAACAAAGAAGAAAGUGAUGGUUUGUCCAUUAGCAGUAUUAGUAGCAGCCUGGACUGCUUCAUGCAGAUUUUAAAACAAAAUUAAAUCAUUAUGGCAAA
Podarcis muralis (Common wall lizard) is the source of this 982-nucleotide non-coding RNA. The record is from RefSeq and is a predicted model, not a curated record. Lineage: Eukaryota; Metazoa; Chordata; Lepidosauria; Squamata; Lacertidae.